AACAUCGCGCACCUGCGGGAACCUGCGGAGGGAUCAUUACCAAUUUAUAUUAUUAGUUUGUAUGCCGCUGUCAAAGGGGGUUAUACACAACUACUAUGUAAACGUUGAACUAGAUCAAUUGGUGUGGAUUGCUUGGGAAUGGACGAAGCGACGAGCCUCUUCCGGACAGGCAAGCCCCACACUGAUAACCUUUUUCAUAUCAUUUACUCGUACAUACUACAAACAACAACAAAAACAAAA
This 240-nucleotide unclassified non-coding RNA is filed under the name soil metagenome. RNAcentral's name for it is "partial contains 5.8S ribosomal RNA, internal transcribed spacer 2, and large subunit ribosomal RNA". The record is from RNAcentral.